GUCGGGAAUUUUGGGCAAUGGGCGAAAGCCUGACCCAGCAACGCCGCGUGAAGGAUGAAGUAUUUCGGUAUGUAAACUUCGUAAGAAUAGGAAGAAUAAAUGACGGUACUAUUUGUAAGGUCCGGCUAACUACGUGCCAGCAGCCGCGGUAAUACGUAGGGACCAAGCGUUGUUCGGAUUUACUGGGCGUAAAGGGCGCGUAGGCGGCGUGGUAAGUCAGCUGUGAAAUCUCCGAGCUUAACUCGGAACGGUCAGCUGAUACUGCUGUGCUAGAGUACAGAAAGGGCAAUCGGAAUUCGUGGUGUAGCGGUGAAAUGCGUAGAUAUCAAGAGGAACACCUGAGGCGAAGGCGGGUUGCUAGGCUGAUACUGACGCUGAGGCGCGAAAGCUAGGGUAGCAAACGGGAUUAGAAACCCGGGUAGUCC
RNAcentral lists this ribosomal RNA (425 nucleotides) under uncultured bacterium. Its description in RNAcentral is "partial 16S ribosomal RNA". It matches the Rfam family "Bacterial small subunit ribosomal RNA", at positions 354 to 796 of the family's 1533-position model. The record is from RNAcentral.